GAUGAACGCUGGCGGCGCGCCUAACACAUGCAAGUCGAACGGUUAAAGCACCUUUUAGGUGUGUAUAAAGUGGCGAACGGCUGAGUAACACGUGGGCAACCUGCCCUCCUCUUGGGGAUAGCCUCGGGAAACCGAGGAUAAUACCCGAUACUUCAAUGUGGCCGCAUGACGACAUUGAGAAAGCUUUUGCGGAGAAGGAUGGGCCCGCGGCCUGUUAGCUUGUUGGUGGGGUAGAGGCCUACCAAGGCAAUGAUGGGUAGCUGGGUUGAGAGACCGACCAGCCAGAUUGGGACUGAGACACGGCCCAGACGCCUACGGGAGGCAGCAGUGGGGAAUCUUGCACAAUGGGCGAAAGCCGGAUGCAGCGACGCCGCGUGCGGGACGAAGGCCUUCGGGUUGUAAACCGCUUUCAGCAGGGACGAGGCGAUAAGUGACGGUACCUGCAGAAGAAGCCCCGGCUAACUACGUG
RNAcentral lists this ribosomal RNA (469 nucleotides) under uncultured bacterium. RNAcentral describes it as "partial 16S ribosomal RNA". It matches the Rfam family "Bacterial small subunit ribosomal RNA", at positions 28 to 507 of the family's 1533-position model. The record is from RNAcentral.